Long non-coding RNA from Colias croceus (clouded yellow), 1139 nucleotides. RefSeq lists it as uncharacterized. The transcript has 2 exons. The record is from RefSeq and is a predicted model, not a curated record. Lineage: Eukaryota; Metazoa; Arthropoda; Insecta; Lepidoptera; Pieridae.
CGUGUCUGUUUAAGCGCCGCCUCAGCACCUACAAGGCAGAUUCAAAUUUACAUUAAAAACUUUUCAUCAUCAUUUUAAUUCAAACUAUUAUAGAAGAGCAAGAUGCAGAAGACAAACUAUUAGGGCUCAAAAACAGCUAUGGACAGCCGUAGAACUAAAGUGGCAAGACUCUACAGAGACGAAGCUAAUUGCUGCAAAAUAGUUAACUAUAGCUCCAAUACCUCAAUACAAUGAAUAUGCGGCUCUUAAAAAACCCAAAGGAUAUCUUCUGCUAGAAAAAGAUUGUGAAAACCAAAGGACAAUAUAUCACUGAAAGCUUCCCCACAAUCAAGCCAAAAAUAUUUGAAUUAGUAAGUUACUUCUGAUCAAGCCAGAUAUUGUCAAAUUCUUAUUACUUUAUUAAAUACCUAUUACUUUAGUAAAUUACAUUAGGUAGGAUAUAGUUCCCAUAUAAUAUGUAAAGAGCUUAUUGUACUUUAAUUUUUUUUUUUGGUGCAAAAAAUGUUUAAGUUUUAGCAUUUAUGAUCAUUUUCCCGACGACGAAUGUGAAUUAUGUUUCAAUGAGAAUAAAUUCAAAUGUUUAAAAUAACGGUUUUACUUGUUGGGUUGUAAUAAAAUUAUUAGAUCAAAAAGAUUACUUAUUCUCCUAACUUAUUCUAUAGUUUUUGCCUAAACUUUUGACUUAUCAAAUACAUAUAAGUACAAUAUUUAGAUGUAGUAACUUGCUUACAUUACCAUAAUGGUUGUUUGUUUUUAUGUAAACAAACCUAAACCACUUUCAUUAUAGAACAAACUCCAACAUCGCGAAAUAAAAUCAGCUGUUCCGUAGAUUUUGGCAGAGUAGAUAAUUCCACUUUUGUAUAUGAAACAGCUGAUAUUUCUUUUACGAUGUUGGAUUUGGCUUUGGAUUAGGUAUAGACCUAAUUAAAGUUGUUCAGGUUCGUAGUGCGAGUCAUUCCUUAAAAGUUUACUCAUGAUUUAUAUUUAACCCUGUUAUUGUGAAAAUUAAAACACAAAAUAGUUAUUGUUUCUUGACAUUGUGAAUUGUGUACUAUUUUUAAAAGUAGUAGUAUCUAAGUGUAAGUAGUAUGUUACUUGAAAUGAUUGUAUCGUGUACUGAAUAAAGCUAAUUUCAUUAA